GAGAGCAAUAACCCCGUAGACGAUAUCUGAGACACGAUAUCGGGCCCUACGGGGCGCAGCAGGCGCGAAACCUUCACACUGUGCGAAAGCGCGAUGAGGGGAUCCCAAGUGCUUGCUCUUAAGAUAAGCUGUUUUCCUGUUUAAAUCGCAGGGAGAGGAAGGGCUGGGUAAGACGGUUGCCAGCCGCCGCGAUAAAACCUGCAGCUCAAGUGGUGGCCGCUAUUAUUGGGACUAAAACGUCCGUAGCCGGUUUAGUAAAUGCUUGGGUAAAUUGUGUAGCUUAACUAUACAAAUACCGAGUAGACUGCUAGACUUGGGACCGGGAGAGGCUAGAGGUACUCCUGGGGUAGAGGUGAAAUUCUGUAAUCCUAGGGGGACCACCAGUGGCGAAGGCGUCUGGCUAGAACGGGUCUGACGGCGAGGGACGAACCCCUGGGGCGCAAACGGUAUUAGAUACCCCGGUAGUCCAGGGUGUAAACGCUGCUUGCUUGAUGUUAGCUGGGCUCCAAGCUCAGCUAGUGUCGGAGAGAAGUUGUUAACCAAGCUGCCUGGGAAGUACGAUCGCAAGAUUGAAACUUAAAGGAAUUGGCGGG
RNAcentral lists this ribosomal RNA (593 nucleotides) under uncultured archaeon. RNAcentral describes it as "bacterial SSU rRNA". It matches the Rfam family "Archaeal small subunit ribosomal RNA", at positions 278 to 872 of the family's 1478-position model. The record is from RNAcentral.